Molecule: long non-coding RNA, 4315 nt
Organism: Daphnia magna
Lineage: Eukaryota; Metazoa; Arthropoda; Branchiopoda; Diplostraca; Daphniidae
Exons: 13
Source: RefSeq, a predicted model, not a curated record
UUGUCGUGUCAAGACAAUGCGGGUGGUGUGAUACUUUUGACCAGCAACUUCGUGUUUAGAAACAAUGCAUGUGUUAACGUUCAUCUUUGUCAUAAUCUGGCAUGUUUGGCCGAAAUUGUUUGUUUUUGUUUACCUCACGUAUACCGACGUAUCUCACGCCGUGAGGUGCAAUAGGUGUCCCCAUAGAUUUCACCUUUCACCUGUCGUCGGAUGAAGAUGGUAGCUGCUAUGGAGGUCGCCAUCAUUGAAAAUUUUCUGUCGAUUUCAAACAUUUCGUUUCAUUACCAGCUUGGAUUUCAUUCUUGUUAUUCAAUGCAUGGAUCCUGUUAGUCAACUUUGCCGCUAAAAGUUCUUUUUAAAGGAAGCAGUCAUUCUUACCAAUAACUUUCACAAUCCAUGACUACUCCUGCUUUUGUUACGUUUGUACAAUCUAUCACAGGUUACCAAUUAAAAGAAGGUGGCCUAAAAAGACUAAAGGUAAAAUCUGCCCCGUGGAUUCUAGUGUCAAGAAGUGCGCCCAGUGCAUACCAGGUGGCGCUAGUGUCGUGAUUGUGUCGCGAUUGUGUCGCAACCAAACAAGGGCCCUUCAUCUCUGGCUGUACCAGGUAAUUUGAAAGGUAAAAUCGCUGGUUUAACAAGAAAACCAAUAACUUAAUCAAAAUCAACGUUAAAUUUGGGUUGUGCCGUGUGAUUUUUGUUGAAUUUCUCACUUUCAUUUUUGGCAGAAUUCUAGAUAUUGUUGAAAAUACGUGAUAUCCAUUCCAAAUUUAACGACAAUUCCGAAAAUCAAGUUUAUGUUUGCAAAGGACUCAUGAUUUUUGAACUAAAUUUAAAAAACCGAAGAACAAAGUUGAUGCGCAAACAGAACUUUUGUUUUGUAUAUUUCAAAAACGGCGAUUCUGACGAAAAAAAUCGAAUAUUCAAAACAAACGUUCAAUUUUGAGUUUCCUGAAGGGAUCUAGGGCGAGGAUUUUGGGUCGGAGGAAAAAAAUUUGAGACGAAUGAAAUUUAUUAUUAGGAGUAGUAAUUGCUAUUUAGUGUUCUGCAAAAUGACAACUCAAUCAUACAAAGUUCCACUUCAUAUGACCAGAGUUCCAGAAUCCUUUGAUUAACUAUCCUUUUGAGAGGUAAACCAUGUGCAUUUAUUUUAUUAAAGAAGAGGAAAAUCAACCAAUCAGUAUGUGUACAUGCCCGAGGAACUCGAUCAACUAGAUUUGGCUGGAUUACCCGAACUAAAGACCAAAGAACAGCUGGAUGAGAUCAUGCGCUUGUCACAUGACGGUCUCAAGGAUGGACAUAUUCGUUAUUUGCUUUGCUAAAUGAUUCUGUGCUAAUUGAAGAGCCUUGCGCAGUCUAGCUGCAUCCAGCAUUCCACCCAGAUACUAGUAGAACCCCAAACAUUGUUUUUGACAAGUACUGUCAUAUUGCGGUUGCAGGUUUUUACUAAAUAUCAAGUAGGUAACGGGUUUGAUCGUGUUAAAUGUAUGAUUUUUCGAUUCGAGUCUAUUUAUGUGUCAGAACUGAAAUCGUACUUUUAGAACUUUCAAAACACCACAUAACUUUUAUUAACAAUUGAUUACUUUUACAACUAUCAAAAUCUGGUUAACCAUUUAAAGGAGAACAAAGCUCAUCUUUUAGAUUUCCGCAAUUUCAACUUCCGGUUUUGCUUCUGGUUUUUUAAUGUCAAAUAACUCCUUAUUUGUUGGUCUGUCAGAAAAAACAUUCACAUUUUCGUGAUUCUCGUCCAAUUUGGGGUCGAUUCCAUGCAUCAGCUCAAAAUACCGGAAAAUCGUAAAAAAACGCAAAUUUUCCUGAACAUUUGAAAUUUUCUGUUCAUGAAAAAUCGCGAUUUUGGUCAAAUCCGACUUUUGGCUAAAAACACGUCAUUCCAACCCCAAAUUUGAUAAGGAUCACGAAAAUCCUUCUUGUUUGGUUAUGGGAUUACUAUUUCCUGAGAUAUUGGCUACUUCCGGGAAAUUGUCCUGACAAUUUGCAAAAAGUAAAAAAUGGGCUGUAUUAUUCUAACAAUUUCAAAUGUUUUCUUGCAUGCAUUAGGGUGUUGCAGCUUUUAUUCCGUGUUUUUCUUGCUAUCAACAGUUGAUCCUGCGAGCAACGACAGUUUUAGCUACAAAUGUUUAGCGCCUCGUCUUGCAACUAGUAGUUGAUAUUCUAGGUUUUUAAAUUUAAAAUUGGAAUCAACUGUCUGAGAUGUCGUUACCCCUGGCAGCCGGGGCAGAAGGGGGCGCAAACGUCUGCUAACGUCAAAAUUGUCUAUUUCCCCCCGUCAGCUAAGGAGUACAAAGUACCUAUAUAAUAGUCUUUCUUUUCCUCUUAGUGUCACCUUAGUUAGACUUGUAGUUACUUGUCUCAUCAUUCUGGAUUUACGCAACGACGACAUUUGGUGUUGCACGUUUCUUCGCUGUUUUAUUGUCCUUUGUAUAGAGCGUAAGUUCUUCUAAUAGACCAACAUAUCUGGGAGCAAGGAUCUGCUUAGGGAGAGUGAGACGUCAGCAAAUACAACAACAGAAUCAUAUCCAAAUUGUAGCACGAAACUUGUACAGCUGUGAUACCUCCCAAACACCUAUGCAGUUUGGAAUGCUUGUCAGGCGAAUGCAGAUUAAUGUAAAAGAUGUCAAAUGUUGGACAUGUGGAAAAGGCCUGAUAGGAUGUGUGGGCGCCUUUGGUAACAUAGAUUGGAACAUAUGAUUUUUCAUGUUGGCUACACCAAGGCAGUAAUAACUGUGCUGCAAACAAUCUGCAAAACAUGCUUGUCUGUCCAUCUCAGUGAUGAGAUGGCAAAUUUGUUGAGUAAAUCUGACUAAGGAAGCAAAUCUGAGAAGUGUUCCUAAAAGUAACUUGUCCCAGUGUGAUUUUCAUAGCAAUCCAUCAUUUGUUCCAAAGAUUUUUUUAUGAAGCUACAACAUAGAAGAUUUAUUAUUUUGCAGGUCUUGACCCAGUAAGCAUCAUACGGGGAGCUCCUAUGAAUGAAAGGAACUUUCUUCAGUAUUGAUACUGGGAUAAAUGACUUUGUUCUCAUCAACCUUUAGUUUAAAGAUACCAUUAACUCCUCAAAGACCACAAGUACACCUGUUACUACCACCCGGUUCCAAAUCGAUGAUUGCUUGGAUUCUAGAAAAAAACAAUGCUCGUGACUCGGUGACUAGGUAGCAUAAUGAGGUCAGAAGAUUGCCCAACAUCUAUGGAAAAAUGACUUGAUUGAUGAACCAGCUAUAUUUAACAGGUUGGCUUUAUUGGAGAACUGUUAAACAUUUGAUAUUCAUAAUGUUCGCAAGGCUUUUAAGAAAAUAGUUUUCAUUGCACUGGCGACAAUUCGGAAUGGCGAGGUGCGAAUGAAUCGGAUUAAAAGUCAGCGUGGAAAUGCAAUAGUUCCGCAGCUGGCAAGAAAUGAGAGGACGAUUGGUGAUGAGACAAUUUAUUCUAAUCGCUGUAACUCAUGGACACGUCGACAUUCGUGGUAAUCAAACUUAGAACGUCUGCAAUGCGAAAUUUUUCACCAAUAUAAAGGAAAGCUGCAAACAUAUUUUCAGCAUUUUUAAUAAAAAAAUAAGCGCGUUCAUUCCCUUCAACCAAUUGUUAACGCGAGGCCCCGUAGGAACCUUCCAUACGUCACUGUUAUUGUAGCUGACAGUGACUGUAAUUAUGGCUUACUUAGCCCAUGCUUAUCCAGAGCUGCCUUCUUGAUCCCCGCCCUAAAAACUAUCAUCUUCAAAAGCUUCCAGGUUUGUUGUGGUCGUAGAACAGCAGACGACGAAGUUCAAAGCGGCAUUGUACCAUCGGGCAGAAUCCAAACGGUUGAUGCAUUGAAAAUGUCGGAGCUCUGUUGAUGAAUUUUCACCAGCACUCUUCCACAAGACGCGCGCGAAGCAAACGAUAGCAAAGGAGAUAUGGACUUGAAUUGGUUGUUUACCACCCGUGGCUUUCCCGCAUCCCAGGAUUAGUCUUGUACACCUUUUGCACUUGUACAGAGCGUUCGGGAACGAAAUUAGUUGUGGAUGGGUUUGCUGUUGACAAGCAAGGGAAGGAUUUUUACUACCAAACUAGAUAGGAAUGAAAUUUGUUGUGGCUGGUUUGGUUGUUGACAAGCAAGGGAAGGAUUUUUUUACCAAAGUAGACAGGAUAUUUAUUCUUAAUCCCACAAUGUCUUGACUACAAAUCAUGCUGAAUUAGAAUAGUAUGUUGAUCGAGGCUGGGUGCCAAAGCAAUGGAUGAUAAUUGUAAGCGCGAUUGGAAAUAUCCAUGAUUUAUUAACGUUCUCUCAUGUUACGGUAUUUUAUUAAAGACAAAUUGAAGUGUA